RNAcentral lists this ribosomal RNA (253 nucleotides) under uncultured bacterium. Its description in RNAcentral is "partial 16S ribosomal RNA". It matches the Rfam family "Bacterial small subunit ribosomal RNA", at positions 524 to 776 of the family's 1533-position model. The record is from RNAcentral.
UACGUAGGUGUCAAGCGUUGUCCGGAUUUAUUGGGCGUAAAGCGCCCGCAGGCGGCUUGCCAAGUCCGAUGUGAAAUCUCCCGGCUCAACUGGGAGGGUGCAUCGAAAACUGGCAGGCUUGAGGCAGGGAGAGGGAUGUGGAAUUCCAGGUGUAGUGGUGAAAUGCGUAGAUAUCUGAAGGAACACCAGUGGCGAAGGCGGCAUCCUGGCCCUGUCCUGACGCUCAGGGGCGAAAGCGUGGGGAGCAAACCGG